This 510-nucleotide ribosomal RNA is filed under the name uncultured eukaryote. Its description in RNAcentral is "bacterial SSU rRNA". It matches the Rfam family "Eukaryotic small subunit ribosomal RNA", at positions 115 to 605 of the family's 1831-position model. The record is from RNAcentral.
AUCUACUCGGCGUUCCGCGCCGCCGGAUAACCGUAGUAAUUCUAGGGCUAAUACGUGCGAAGCGCCCGAAGCCGCGAGGCGACGGGCGUUCUCGCCGGAUGUAGGAACCGACCCGGGGACCGCCGGGGCAACCCGGCGCCCCCGAGACGGGGCGAACCACGGUGAAAUGACGGAUCGUCGGCCCCGCGCCGGCGACUCGCCGAAUGAGUUUCUGACCUAUCAACUCGAGACGGCGGGGUAGAGGCCCGCCGCGGUAACGACGGGUAACGGGGAAUCAGGGUUCGAUUCCGGAGAGGGAGCCCGAGAAACGGCUACCACUUCCAAGGAAGGCAGCAGGCGCGCAACUUACCCUAAUCUCGAUUCGAGGAGGUAGUGACAAGAAAUACCGAUGCGGGACCCUACGGGUGCCGCGUUCGGAAUGAGUACGAUUCGAACCACCUAACGAGGAACGAUCGGAGGGCAAGUCUGGUGCCAGCAGCCGCGGUAAUUCCAGCUCCAAUAGCGUACGUU